This 449-nucleotide ribosomal RNA is filed under the name Vibrio furnissii CIP 102972. RNAcentral's name for it is "bacterial SSU rRNA". It matches the Rfam family "Bacterial small subunit ribosomal RNA", at positions 8 to 443 of the family's 1533-position model. Lineage: Bacteria; Pseudomonadati; Pseudomonadota; Gammaproteobacteria; Vibrionales; Vibrionaceae. The record is from RNAcentral.
AGAGUUUGAUCAUGGCUCAGAUUGAACGCUGGCGGCAGGCCUAACACAUGCAAGUCGAGCGGCAGCGACAACAUUGAACCUUCGGGGGAUUUGUUGGGCGGCGAGCGGCGGACGGGUGAGUAAUGCCUGGGAAAUUGCCCUGAUGUGGGGGAUAACCAUUGGAAACGAUGGCUAAUACCGCAUGAUAGCUUCGGCUCAAAGAGGGGGACCUUCGGGCCUCUCGCGUCAGGAUAUGCCCAGGUGGGAUUAGCUAGUUGGUGAGGUAAGGGCUCACCAAGGCGACGAUCCCUAGCUGGUCUGAGAGGAUGAUCAGCCACACUGGAACUGAGACACGGUCCAGACUCCUACGGGAGGCAGCAGUGGGGAAUAUUGCACAAUGGGCGCAAGCCUGAUGCAGCCAUGCCGCGUGUAUGAAGAAGGCCUUCGGGUUGUAAAGUACUUUCAGCAGU